GAUGAACGCUGGCGGCGUGCCUAAUACAUGCAAGUCGAGCGAACGGACGAGAAGCUUGCUUCUCUGAUGUUAGCGGCGGACGGGUGAGUAACACGUGGAUAACCUACCUAUAAGACUGGGAUAACUUCGGGAAACCGGAGCUAAUACCGGAUAAUAUUUUGAACCGCAUGGUUCAUAAGUGAAAGACGGUCUUGCUGUCACUUAUAGAUGGAUCCGCGCUGCAUUAGCUAGUUGGUAAGGUAACGGCUUACCAAGGCAACGAUGCAUAGCCGACCUGAGAGGGUGAUCGGCCACACUGGAACUGAGACACGGUCCAGACUCCUACGGGAGGCAGCAGUAGGGAAUCUUCCGCAAUGGGCGAAAGCCUGACGGAGCAACGCCGCGUGAGUGAUGAAGGUCUUCGGAUCGUAAAACUCUGUUAUUAGGGAAGAAAAUAUGUGUAAGUAACUGUGCACAUCUUGACGGUACCUAAUCAGAAAGCCACGGCUAACUACGUG
Molecule: ribosomal RNA, 497 nt
Filed under: uncultured bacterium
Lineage: Bacteria
Description: partial 16S ribosomal RNA
Rfam family: Bacterial small subunit ribosomal RNA
Source: RNAcentral